AGAGUUUGAUCCUGGCUCAGAUUGAACGCUGGCGGCAUGCCUUACACAUGCAAGUCGAACGGCAGCACGGGCUUCGGCCUGGUGGCGAGUGGCGAACGGGUGAGUAAUGCAUCGGAACGUGCCCAUUUGUGGGGGAUAACUACGCGAAAGCGUGGCUAAUACCGCAUACGCCCUGAGGGGGAAAGCGGGGGAUUCUUCGGAACCUCGCGCAAUUGGAGCGGCCGAUGUCAGAUUAGCUUGUUGGUGAGGUAGAGGCUCACCAAGGCGACGAUCUGUAGCGGGUCUGAGAGGAUGAUCCGCCACACUGGGACUGAGACACGGCCCAGACUCCUACGGGAGGCAGCAGUGGGGAAUUUUGGACAAUGGGGGCAACCCUGAUCCAGCCAUGCCGCGUGAGUGAAGAAGGCCUUCGGGUUGUAAAGCUCUUUCAGCCGGGAAGAAAACGCACUCUCUAACAUAGGGUGUGGAUGACGGUACCGGAGGAAGAAGCACCGGCUAACUACGUGCCAGCAGCCGCGGUAAUA
Molecule: ribosomal RNA, 524 nt
Filed under: uncultured bacterium
Lineage: Bacteria
Description: bacterial SSU rRNA
Rfam family: Bacterial small subunit ribosomal RNA
Source: RNAcentral